This 363-nucleotide transfer-messenger RNA is filed under the name Salmonella enterica. RNAcentral's name for it is "Standard tmRNA". It matches the Rfam family "transfer-messenger RNA". Rfam says of the family: Bacterial tmRNA, also known as 10Sa RNA or SsrA, is named for its dual tRNA and mRNA-like properties. Its role is to liberate the mRNA from a stalled ribosome. The record is from RNAcentral. Lineage: Bacteria; Pseudomonadati; Pseudomonadota; Gammaproteobacteria; Enterobacterales; Enterobacteriaceae.
UGGGCUGAUUCUGGAUUCGACGGGAUUUGCGAAACCCAAGGUGCAUGCCGAGGGGCGGUUGGCCUCGUAAAAAGCCGCAAAAAAAUAGUCGCAAACGACGAAACCUACGCUUUAGCAGCUUAAUAACCUGCUUAGAGCCCUCUCUCCCUAGCCUCCGCUCUUAGGACGGGGAUCAAGAGAGGUCAAACCCAAAAGAGAUCGCGCGGAUGCCCUGCCUGGGGUUGAAGCGUUAAAACGAAUCAGGCUAGUCUGGUAGUGGCGUGUCCGUCCGCAGGUGCCAGGCGAAUGUAAAGACUGACUAAGCAUGUAGUACCGAGGAUGUAGGAAUUUCGGACGCGGGUUCAACUCCCGCCAGCUCCACCA